AGCCAAGUAGCGUGAAGGAUGACUGCCCUAUGGGUUGUAAACUUCUUUUAUAAAGGAAUAAAGUCGGGUAUGCAUACCCGUUUGCAUGUACUUUAUGAAUAAGGAUCGGCUAACUCCGUGCCAGCAGCCGCGGUAAUACGGAGGAUCCGAGCGUUAUCCGGAUUUAUUGGGUUUAAAGGGAGCGUAGAUGGAUGUUUAAGUCAGUUGUGAAAGUUUGCGGCUCAACCGUAAAAUUGCAGUUGAUACUGGAUAUCUUGAGUGCAGUUGAGGCAGGCGGAAUUCGUGGUGUAGCGGUGAAAUGCUUAGAUAUCACGAAGAACUCCGAUUGCGAAGGCAGCCUGCUAAGCUGCAACUGACAUUGAGGCUCGAAAGUGUGGGUAUCAAACAGGAUUAGAUACCCUGGUAGUCCACACGGUAAACGAUGAAUACUCGCUGUUUGCGAUAUACUGCAA
RNAcentral lists this ribosomal RNA (452 nucleotides) under uncultured bacterium. RNAcentral describes it as "bacterial SSU rRNA". It matches the Rfam family "Bacterial small subunit ribosomal RNA", at positions 390 to 842 of the family's 1533-position model. The record is from RNAcentral.